CCUANGGGAGGCAGCAGUGGGGAAUCUUGCGCAAUGGGGGAAACCCUGACGCAGCAACGCCGCGUGGGUGAUGAAGGCCUUCGGGUCGUAAAGCCCUGUCAGGUGGGAAGAAACAUGUCGAUGCAAAUAACAUCGACAUUUGACGGUACCACCGGAGGAAGCACCGGCUAACUCCGUGCCAGCAGCCGCGGUAAUACGGAGGGUGCAAGCGUUGUUCGGAAUUAUUGGGCGUAAAGCGCGUGCAGGCGGUUGGGUAAGUCAGAUGUGAAAGCCUUCCGCUUAACGGAAGAAGUGCAUUUGAAACUGCCCGGCUAGAGUACGGGAGAGGAGAGUGGAAUUCCCGGUGUAGAGGUGAAAUUCGUAGAUAUCGGGAGGAACACCAGUGGCGAAGGCGGCUCUCUGGUCCGAUACUGACGCUGAGACGCGAAAGCGUGGGGAGCAAACAGGAUUAGAUACCCUGNUANUC
This 466-nucleotide ribosomal RNA is filed under the name uncultured bacterium. Its description in RNAcentral is "bacterial SSU rRNA". It matches the Rfam family "Bacterial small subunit ribosomal RNA", at positions 338 to 795 of the family's 1533-position model. The record is from RNAcentral.